GAUGAACGCUGGCUACAGGCUUAACACAUGCAAGUCGAGGGGAAACGACGGGGAAGCUUGCUUCCCCGGGCGUCGACCGGCGCACGGGUGAGUAACGCGUAUCCAACCUGCCUCUGACUGAGGGAUAACCCGUCGAAAGUCGGCCUAAUACCUCAUGGCAUCGUCUGCGGGCAUCCAACGACGAUUAAAGAUUUCAUCGGUCAGCGAUGGGGAUGCGUCUGAUUAGCUUGUUGGCGGGGUAACGGCCCACCAAGGCGACGAUCAGUAGGGGUUCUGAGAGGAAGGUCCCCCACAUGGGAACGGAGACACGGUCCAAACUCCUACGGGAGGCAGCAGUGAGGAAUAUUGGUCAAUGGGCGAGAGCCUGAACCAGCCAAGUAGCGUGCAGGAUGACGGCCCUAUGGGUUGUAAACUGCUUUUAUGCGGGGAUAAAGUGAGGGACGUGUCCUUCAUUGCAGGUACCGCAUGAAUAAGGACCGGCUAAUUCCGUG
Molecule: ribosomal RNA, 491 nt
Filed under: uncultured bacterium
Lineage: Bacteria
Description: partial 16S ribosomal RNA
Rfam family: Bacterial small subunit ribosomal RNA
Source: RNAcentral